AGGAAAUGACUUCCUACAGCUAGCUGAUCAGGAGUUAGCGCUCACUCUGCUUGGAGCCAGAACCUGGAGCAUACCCAGAUGUGGACCAAAACACAGCUUCAGCUCACCCAACAGAUGAAACUGACAGAAUGAAACCAGAGAAACUUUAGCAACCAAAGAAAGCAGCCUUCCAAGGAUCAAGCUUGAUGCAAAUGAAUCCUUUGACCCUGGAAGCCACACGUUGAAAAUGGAGGGGCCACAGCACGGAAAAAGUCCCUGAAUCACUGCCUAGAGGAGACUUAAGACAAGUUUUGAACUUCAUGAGAAAGAAAAUAAACUUCUAUUGUGUUUAAACCAUUAUUCAUUUUAAGAGUUGACUGUAACAAGAGCUUGUAUUAUUGUAACCAGUGCAUUAUUGUUACAUGUAUUCUUCCAAAUUGUCUGAAAUAAAUUGACUAUGGAUUGGC
Long non-coding RNA from Orcinus orca (killer whale), 446 nucleotides. RefSeq lists it as uncharacterized. NCBI's taxonomy places the organism in Eukaryota, Metazoa, Chordata, Mammalia, Artiodactyla, Delphinidae. The transcript is spliced from 3 exons. The record is from RefSeq and is a predicted model, not a curated record.